GAGGGUAUAGCUCAAGUGGUAGAGCGCAUGCUUACCAUGCGCAAGGUCCUGGGUUCAAUCCCCAGUACCUCCU
Molecule: transfer RNA, 73 nt
Filed under: Camelus bactrianus (Bactrian camel)
Lineage: Eukaryota; Metazoa; Chordata; Mammalia; Artiodactyla; Camelidae
Also listed under: 2 other names
Rfam family: tRNA
About the family: Transfer RNA (tRNA) molecules are approximately 80 nucleotides in length. Their secondary structure includes four short double-helical elements and three loops (D, anti-codon, and T loops). Further hydrogen bonds mediate the characteristic L-shaped molecular structure. tRNAs have two regions of fundamental functional importance: the anti-codon, which is responsible for specific mRNA codon recognition, and the 3' end, to which the tRNAs corresponding amino acid is attached (by aminoacyl-tRNA synthetases). tRNAs cope with the degeneracy of the genetic code in two manners: having more than one tRNA (with a specific anti-codon) for a particular amino acid; and 'wobble' base-pairing, i.e. permitting non-standard base-pairing at the 3rd anti-codon position.
Source: Rfam by way of RNAcentral